Molecule: ribosomal RNA, 2789 nt
Filed under: Escherichia coli
Lineage: Bacteria; Pseudomonadati; Pseudomonadota; Gammaproteobacteria; Enterobacterales; Enterobacteriaceae
Description: bacterial LSU rRNA
Rfam family: Bacterial large subunit ribosomal RNA
Source: RNAcentral
AGCGUACACGGUGGAUGCCCUGGCAGUCAGAGGCGAUGAAGGACGUGCUAAUCUGCGAUAAGCGUCGGUAAGGUGAUAUGAACCGUUAUAACCGGCGAUUUCCGAAUGGGGAAACCCAGUGUGAUUCGUCACACUAUCAUUAACUGAAUCCAUAGGUUAAUGAGGCGAACCGGGGGAACUGAAACAUCUAAGUACCCCGAGGAAAAGAAAUCAACCGAGAUUCCCCCAGUAGCGGCGAGCGAACGGGGAGCAGCCCAGAGCCUGAAUCAGUGUGUGUGUUAGUGGAAGCGUCUGGAAAGGCGCGCGAUACAGGGUGACAGCCCCGUACACAAAAAUGCACAUACUGUGAGCUCGAUGAGUAGGGCGGGACACGUGGUAUCCUGUCUGAAUAUGGGGGGACCAUCCUCCAAGGCUAAAUACUCCUGACUGACCGAUAGUGAACCAGUACCGUGAGGGAAAGGCGAAAAGAACCCCGGCGAGGGGAGUGAAAAAGAACCUGAAACCGUGUACGUACAAGCAGUGGGAGCACAGAGCAAUCUGUGUGACUGCGUACCUUUUGUAUAAUGGGUCAGCGACUUAUAUUCUGUAGCAAGGUUAACCGAAUAGGGGAGCCGAAGGGAAACCGAGUCUUAACUGGGCGUUAAGUUGCAGGGUAUAGACCCGAAACCCGGUGAUCUAGCCAUGGGCAGGUUGAAGGUUGGGUAACACUAACUGGAGGACCGAACCGACUAAUGUUGAAAAAUUAGCGGAUGACUUGUGGCUGGGGGUGAAAGGCCAAUCAAACCGGGAGAUAGCUGGUUCUCCCCGAAAGCUAUUUAGGUAGCGCCUCGUGAAUUCAUCUCCGGGGGUAGAGCACUGUUUCGGCAAGGGGGUCAUCCCGACUUACCAACCCGAUGCAAACUGCGAAUACCGGAGAAUGUUAUCACGGGAGACACACGGCGGGUGCUAACGUCCGUCGUGAAGAGGGAAACAACCCAGACCGCCAGCUAAGGUCCCAAAGUCAUGGUUAAGUGGGAAACGAUGUGGGAAGGCCCAGACAGCCAGGAUGUUGGCUUAGAAGCAGCCAUCAUUUAAAGAAAGCGUAAUAGCUCACUGGUCGAGUCGGCCUGCGCGGAAGAUGUAACGGGGCUAAACCAUGCACCGAAGCUGCGGCAGCGACGCUGAUGCGUUGUUGGGUAGGGGAGCGUUCUGUAAGCCUGUGAAGGUGUGCUGUGAGGCAUGCUGGAGGUAUCAGAAGUGCGAAUGCUGACAUAAGUAACGAUAAAGCGGGUGAAAAGCCCGCUCGCCGGAAGACCAAGGGUUCCUGUCCAACGUUAAUCGGGGCAGGGUGAGUCGACCCCUAAGGCGAGGCCGAAAGGCGUAGUCGAUGGGAAACAGGUUAAUAUUCCUGUACUUGGUGUUACUGCGAAGGGGGGACGGAGAAGGCUAUGUUGGCCGGGCGACGGUUGUCCCGGUUUAAGCGUGUAGGCUGGUUUUCCAGGCAAAUCCGGAAAAUCAAGGCUGAGGCGUGAUGACGAGGCACUACGGUGCUGAAGCAACAAAUGCCCUGCUUCCAGGAAAAGCCUCUAAGCAUCAGGUAACAUCAAAUCGUACCCCAAACCGACACAGGUGGUCAGGUAGAGAAUACCAAGGCGCUUGAGAGAACUCGGGUGAAGGAACUAGGCAAAAUGGUGCCGUAACUUCGGGAGAAGGCACGCUGAUAUGUAGGUGAAGUCCCUCGCGGAUGGAGCUGAAAUCAGUCGAAGAUACCAGCUGGCUGCAACUGUUUAUUAAAAACACAGCACUGUGCAAACACGAAAGUGGACGUAUACGGUGUGACGCCUGCCCGGUGCCGGAAGGUUAAUUGAUGGGGUCAGCGCAAGCGAAGCUCUUGAUCGAAGCCCCGGUAAACGGCGGCCGUAACUAUAACGGUCCUAAGGUAGCGAAAUUCCUUGUCGGGUAAGUUCCGACCUGCACGAAUGGCGUAAUGAUGGCCAGGCUGUCUCCACCCGAGACUCAGUGAAAUUGAACUCGCUGUGAAGAUGCAGUGUACCCGCGGCAAGACGGAAAGACCCCGUGAACCUUUACUAUAGCUUGACACUGAACAUUGAGCCUUGAUGUGUAGGAUAGGUGGGAGGCUUAGAAGUGUGGACGCCAGUCUGCAUGGAGCCGACCUUGAAAUACCACCCUUUAAUGUUUGAUGUUCUAACGUUGACCCGUAAUCCGGGUUGCGGACAGUGUCUGGUGGGUAGUUUGACUGGGGCGGUCUCCUCCUAAAGAGUAACGGAGGAGCACGAAGGUUGGCUAAUCCUGGUCGGACAUCAGGAGGUUAGUGCAAUGGCAUAAGCCAGCUUGACUGCGAGCGUGACGGCGCGAGCAGGUGCGAAAGCAGGUCAUAGUGAUCCGGUGGUUCUGAAUGGAAGGGCCAUCGCUCAACGGAUAAAAGGUACUCCGGGGAUAACAGGCUGAUACCGCCCAAGAGUUCAUAUCGACGGCGGUGUUUGGCACCUCGAUGUCGGCUCAUCACAUCCUGGGGCUGAAGUAGGUCCCAAGGGUAUGGCUGUUCGCCAUUUAAAGUGGUACGCGAGCUGGGUUUAGAACGUCGUGAGACAGUUCGGUCCCUAUCUGCCGUGGGCGCUGGAGAACUGAGGGGGGCUGCUCCUAGUACGAGAGGACCGGAGUGGACGCAUCACUGGUGUUCGGGUUGUCAUGCCAAUGGCACUGCCCGGUAGCUAAAUGCGGAAGAGAUAAGUGCUGAAAGCAUCUAAGCACGAAACUUGCCCCGAGAUGAGUUCUCCCUGACUCCUUGA